This 438-nucleotide ribosomal RNA is filed under the name uncultured bacterium. RNAcentral's name for it is "partial 16S ribosomal RNA". It matches the Rfam family "Bacterial small subunit ribosomal RNA", at positions 338 to 795 of the family's 1533-position model. The record is from RNAcentral.
CCUACGGGAGACAGCAGUGGGGAAUAUUGCACAAUGGGGGAAACCCUGAUGCAGCGACGCCGCGUGAGUGAAGAAGUAAUUCGUUAUGUAAAGCUCUAUCAGCAGGGAAGAAAAUGACGGUACCUGAGUAAGAAGCCCCGGCUAACUACGUGCCAGCAGCCGCGGUAAUACGUAGGGGGCAAGCGUUAUCCGGAUUUACUGGGUGUAAAGGGAGCGUAGACGGCAGUGCAAGUCUGGAGUGAAAGGCGGGGGCACAACCCCCGGACUGCUCUGGAAACUGUACGGCUGGAGUGCAGGAGAGGUAAGUGGAAUUCCUAGUGUAGCGGUGAAAUGCGUAGAUAUUAGGAGGAACACCAGUGGCGAAGGCAGCUUACUAAGCCAUAACUGACACUGAAGCACGAAAGCGUGGGGAUCAACCAGGAUUAGAUACUUGUAGUC